CACCUUCCAAAUCGAUCAACCAUGAAGCCAACCGUAGUUCUUGCUCUCUCUUUCCUCCUUCCCCUCCUUGCUUUCUUCACCAACAUUCCCUUAGCUUUCUCAGAUGAUGUUGAACAAGUUGUGGACAUAUAUGGGAACCCCAUUUACCCAGGUUUUUCAUACUACAUCAUCCCAGCACUCCGUGGUCCAGGUGGUGGUGGAUUGAAACUUGCCCAAACUGGAAACUCAGAGUGCUCUCUUACUAUCCUGCAAGAUUACUCUGAAGUCUUCCGUGGCCUUCCUGUGCAAUUCACCAUUCCCGGAAUCAGUCCUGGAAUCAUCUUCACAGGUACUAAUUAAAACUUAAUUGUCAUGAAUUGAAUUGUUAGAAGUUUCAAGUGGAUUAAAAGUAAAACCAAUUUAUAAUAUAUAAUAUAACGCUGAUUUUGUGAGAUUGAGUCAAGUUUAAAGUUCACUCCUUAAUAUGGUAUCAUAGUAAUGAUUAGAGUCUAUCUUAAGAUAUUUGUUGUUUAUUGAACAUUUUGUUCGACCUGUUAUCGGAUCAUUAUUCGACCACUUAUUAAUAUCUAGUCUCACGCUUUGUUUAUACGUUGGACGUAAAGAGUGUGUUGAGAGUGUGACAUCAAUUAAUGAUAAGAUAAAAUUAAUUUGUAAUAUAUAAAUGAAUGUGGACCUCGUCUUAUUAGAGACCGGUUUUAUAAUAUUGAAAUAGGUUUGAAAUUGACUUAUAAAAUUUCGUAUAAAUUAUCUUCUGUUACUAAUUUCAAGUUUUGGAAACAUCCCUAUAGGUACCGAACUGGAGAUCGAGUUCGUAGAGAAGCCAUGGUGUGCAAAAUCCUCCAAGUGGUCGUUGUUCAUAGAUGUAUCAAUCGGGAAGGCAUGUUUGGGAAUUGGUGGUGCCGAAGGCCAUCCAGGGCAAUCAACUUAUGAUGGCAAAUUUCACAUUAAGAAAUACAUAUUUGGGUACAAGCUUGUGUUCUGCCUCGAUGCCACAAAAGCUUGCUUGGAUAUUGGGAGAUUUGAUGCCAAGAACGGCGAGGAAGGAAGACGCUUGAAUACGACUCAGGAUGAAGCAUUCGAUAUUGUGUUCGUACCAGCUUUUAAAGCUGAUAAGGUUAUUAAGUCUGUAGCUUGAGUCAAAUAUCUCUAGUUAAUCAGAUUUUAGUUAAUGCAUAUGUUGUUGUUUUGAAAGUGCUGUGCCCUUACUGUUUGAUUAUUUAUACAUUGGUCAUAUAUAUAUAUAUAUAUAUAUAUAUAUAUAUAUAUAUAUAUUAUUUUACAUUGUUACUUAAUGGAAAGUGACUCUCAAAUUUAAACUAUUACGUUAUAAAAAUUAAGGAAAAUGAUAUUUUUACACCAAUUUUUGACACUAUUUUGACACUGCACACGUGUCAAAACAUGGUUGGACGAUAUUAAAUUAAAAAAACUGAAACAAGGACAUAUUUGGAAGAAAAAAACCAAACUUUUUUUUUUAAUUUGAAAUCAUCCAACCACGUUUUGACACGUGUACAGUAUCAAAAUGGUGUCAAAAAAUUGGUGUCAAAAUAUCAUUUUUCAAAAAUUAAAUCAAAAUGUGAAAGAAUGUGUGAGUUCUAUUUUAAUUGAAAAUAUGUAUAUGUCAGAAUUUCUCUUCAAGAACUUUUAGGAAGAAAAAAAAAAUGAAAUUAGUAUCUCAAUAAAUUAAAAAUAAUUUAUUAAUAAAUUAAUCUAUUGACAUUAUUUUACGUAGCUUCUUAAGAGUUAUUUUUAACUUACGUAUGAUGCCAUUUUAGUUUAUGAAAAACUUUAUGUAUUUUUAUUUUUUUUAUCUUAAAAGUUGUUAAGGAGAAACUCGUAUUACUAUAAAGACUCCUAUUACAUAUUUAGACAGAAUAUACGAUUUAAUGUGCGAAAGUUUUAGUGGAAUAAACAGUCAAUUAACAUAACAUGGUAGGGAUUAUCAACCGAAUACAUUUCCUACUCACGGUUAUACCUACAAACAUCAAAGCAUUUUUUUUUAAUCAACAAAGAAUAAAUAUAAUUAUAUUGGAUCACUUGGUUGCUCUAUCCCAUUUACAUAAUAUAUGUUAGUAUUUUAAUCUGAAUAUCUCCCAACUGUAAUAACUGUCCUCUGACAGUUAUUCUCAUUCUUUAGUUUUACUCUUUAAAUACUUCUUUUGUACUCUCUAUUUCAAUUUUCUUCAAUAAGAAUAACUCUCAUUUUCUUCAAACUCUCUUACACUCUGUAUUCUCUCCUCUGCAUAAUUGCUUCUCUGCAUAAUUCUUCCAAACUGUAACAUUGGUAUCAGGAGCUAGGAAAUUCGGUGAAGACAGCUCAAGUCAUUUCAAGAAGAAAAGUGUUCGUGAGUAAUGGCUGGAAUGAUGCACAGCAACCUACCUGUUUUCGAUGGCAAAGGAUUCGAUGAUUGGUGUAUUAAGAUGGACGCGAUCCUCGGCUUUCAAGAGGUAGAUGAAAUUGUAAGAAAAGGUUUUAAAGAACCUGUCAAGGAUGAUUCAGAAGCAGCCAAGAAGCUAUACAAGGAAAACAAGAAGUUGGAUUGCAAAGCAAGAAUGUUGUUGCAUCAGUGCAUAUCGGCAACAAUUUUUCAGAAAGUCUCAAAGGCUACUACGGCGAAGGAGAUUUGGGAUAUCUUGCAAGAUGGUUAUGGCAAUUCUGGAAAGGUCAAGAAGACAAGAUUACAGUCAUUGCAGAGACAGUAUGAACUUCUCGCCAUGAAGGAGCAAGAAACAGUGGUCGAAUACAUUGGUAGACUUCAAUUGAUUGUGAAUGCAAUGAGAGCGUGUGAUAAGAUUGUCAAAGACAAGAAAAUUGUAGAGAAAAUACUCAGAACCCUAACCCCUCAAUUUGAUCAUAUAGCUUUGACCAUAGAAGAAACUAAAGAUCUCGAGAAGUUGAAGGUGGAGGAAUUGCAGAAUUCUUUAGAAGCGCAUGAGCAAAGAUUAAUCGAAAGGAGAAAUGUUGAAAAAGGCGAAAAUCAAGGCGUGAGUCAAGCAUUACAAGCCAGAAAUGAUUACAAACCCAGAGGCCGUGGGAGAGGCAGAGGUCGAUCAAGAGGAGGACGCAAUGGUGGUAGAGGCAUGAAACCAUCAGAUCAAAGUAAUGAAGAUAAUGGAGGUGAACAAAAGAAUGGAAGUGGUCGAGGAGGUCGACACUCGAGAGGCAGAGGCAGAAAGGGUUAUGACAAAAGGAGUAUCCAGUGCUUCACUUGCAGCAAAUACGGCCAUUAUUCCACGGAGUGUUGGCAUAAUGAAGAUUCGAAGGGAACCAAGAAUGGAGGGUCAGCCAAUCUUGCACAAGAAACUGAAGAAUCAGAGUCUGAUCAUAUUGUGUUAAUGAGCACAAUUGAAAGAUUCGAAAAAGGGCAAUGUAAGAAAUUGACGUUGAACGGGAUUAAGCAAGAAAUGAUUCUGGUGGACAGAUGCAACGAAGCACAUGUGUCAAUCUCAGAAGAAAGUGGAGAACACGUGUCGUCAUCGUUCGAAAGAAGACAUGCAGCAAAAGACGUAGCACCCGCACAUACGUUGUCGUUCGAAAUGAGACAUGAAGCGAAAGAUGUAGCUCCCACACAUGCGUUGCUCUCAAACGGUGUAAAUCAAGCGGCGAAUGAUGAUUCAUGUAGCUGGUAUUUGGACACGGGUUGUUCGAACCAUAUGACAGGGAGACGAGAAUGGUUAGUAAACCUCGAUCCAAGUAUAAAGAGCCGUGUGCGAUUUGCGGACAACAGCACGAUCAUGGCGGAAGGAGUUGGCAGAGUCUUGAUCACUUGCAAGAACGGUAAGAUCGCUUACAUGGAUGACGUCUUGUAUGUUCCUUCAAUGAAGAGCAACUUGUUGAGUUUAGGGCAACUCCUGGAGAAAGGGUACACCAUGUCUAUGCAUCAGCGACAUAUAGAAAUAUUUGACAGCAAACAACGUCCUGUGAUUAAAGCACCACUUGCCCGUAACAGGACUUUCAAAGUGAAUUUGAACGCUGCAGCUAUACAGUGUUUGUCUGUCUCAAACCACGAAGAAGAAGGAUGGCUAUGGCACUACAGAUACGGGCAUCUAAAUUUCAAAGGCCUGAGUCAAUUGAAAGGCAAGGAUUUGGUGAAAGGUGUGCCUUCAAUAUUUGUUCCAGACAGAAUCUGUGAGGGUUGUGCUAUAGGCAAGCAAUCUAGAAGGAGAUUUCAACAAUUGGCACCCAAAAGAGCGAAACAGCCUCUGGAUGUUGUCCACUCAGACGUUUGCGGCCCCUUCGAUGUUCCAUCAGUUGGAGGUAACAAAUAUUUCUUGUUAUUUGUAGACGAAUGGACGAGAAAAAUGUGGAUAUAUUUGUUGAAAGCAAAGAAAGAGGUAUAUUCAUAUUUUGUGAAAUUUUGCUCUUUGGUGGAGAGACAAUCUGGCUCGCAGGUUAGGGUGUUCAGAACCGAUGGAGGAGGAGAGUUCAACUCCUCUGAGAUGGACAAGUUUUGCACUGAAAAAGGCAUUGUGCAUGAAGUAACGGCUCCCUACACACCACAGCAUAACGGCCUAGCUGAAAGAAGGAACAGGACGAUAGUUGAUAUGACGAGAUGUAUGAUUAAAGCCAAGCAAUUGCCGCAUUGUUUGUGGGGAGAAGCAACAUCUACUGCUGUCUAUCUUCUGAAUAGAAGUCCUACGAAGGCCUUGCCUACAUGUACCCCUGAAGAAGCCUGGUCUGGAAUUAAACCAACUGCAUAUCAUUUGAGAGUUUUCGGGUCUGUGUGCUAUAGACACAUCCCAGAUGAACGAAGGAAGAAACUGGAUGAUAAGAGUGAGAUUCUCAUCUUUGUUGGCUAUCAUCCUACAGGUGCUUACAGACUGUAUGACCCAGUAAAGAAGCAGGUUGUCAUCAGUCGAGAUGUGGUGGUGGAUGAAACAACAACAUUUGACUGGGAGAAGGCUGAAGAAAAAUCUGAAGGAGGUUGUAUUCCAAGUUGGCUUGAGGAUAAGAGUUCCUUCAAUGAUGAGCAAACAGACGCAGACCGUGAAAUUAACAAUAGAAGAUCACAAAGGACAAGGUUUCCAUCCACCAGACUUACAGACCAUGAAGUCUUUCCUGACAAUGAAGUUACUAGCUCAGGUGAUCUUGUACAUUUUGCGUUUUUGGCCGACACAGAACCACUGACCUGGAAGCAAGCUAUUGAUGUAAAGGAGUGGAGAGAAGCCAUGUUGGAGGAACUUAAGGCAAUAGAGAAAAACAGAACCUGGGAGAUGGUGGAAUUACCUCAGCAUAAACAGCCCAUUGACGUUAAAUGGGUGUUUAAAAUCAAGCACAAACCAGAUGGUGAAGUAGCAAAGUUCAAAGCCAGAUUGGUGGCAAGAGGUUUCUUACAAAAGCCUGGAGAGGAUUUCACUGAUGUGUUUGCUCCUGUUGCACGACUUGAAACAGUGAGGUUGUUGAUUGCUGUGGCCAAUAUUAAAGCUUGGAGAAUUUGUCAAAUGGAUGUUAAAUCCGCUUUUCUGAACGGUUUUUUGGAGGAAGAGGUUUAUGUGAGACAACCUCCAGGUUUUGUGAAGAAAGGAGAAGAAGGAAAAGUGUAUAGAUUGAACAAAGCUUUAUAUGGUCUCAGGCAGGCACCUCGUGCUUGGAAUAACCAUAUCAACGCAGUUCUGCUCAAACUGGGAUUCAAGAGGUGCUCCGUAGAAUCUGGAGUCUAUGUGAAAUCUGGUGAAAGGCAAGGUAUGUUGUUGAUAUGCCUAUAUGUGGAUGAUCUUCUUAUAACAGGAGACUCAAUAGAUGAAAUUGAAGAAUUUAAGAAGAAGAUGAAGGAGGAAUUUGAGAUGACAGAUCUCGGUGGUUUAAGCUACUUCCUGGGUUUGGAAUGUGUGCAGACAAGCGGUGGAAUGUUUCUUAGUCAAAGGAGAUAUAUUAGCAAUGUGUUGAGAAGAUUUAAGAUGGAAAACUGCAACAGUGCAGCAGUACCAAUAAUGACAAAUUUGAAGUUGAUAGACAAUCCAGAUGAGAAGAAGGUGGACGCCACUUUAUAUAAACAAAUGGUAGGAUCCUUGCGUUAUAUUUGUAAUAGCAGACCCGAUAUCUGCUAUGGAGUUGGGCUGGUGAGCAGAUUUAUGCAGGAGCCUAGACAAUCACAUCUUGCUGCUACCAAACACAUAUUGCGAUAUUUGAAGGGAACUUCAAAUUUUGGUCUGUUCUUCCCCAAAAACCCGAACAACAUGAGAGGAGUUUUGGAGGCUUGGUGUGAUGCUGACUGGUGUGGUGACAAAGUUGAUAGGAAAAGUACUUUUGGGUACUUGUUCAGAUAUAUGGGAGCGACUGUUUCGUGGUGCUCCAAGAAGCAGAGCGUGGUCGCAUUAUCCUCUUGCGAGGCUGAAUAUAUCGCAGCUGCUGAGACUGCGUGUCAGUGUGUGUGGAUGGAAACUAUGUUUGAUGAACUAAGGAUUGAGUACGGAAAACCGGUGCAGCUCUCAGUGGAUAAUAAAUCAGCAAUAUGUUUGUCCAAAAAUCCAGUUUUUCACGGUAGGAGCAAACACAUUGAAACCAAAUUUCAUUUCCUAAGAGAUCAAGUCAGCAAAGGUAGAUUGGAGCUGGUUCAUUGCAGCACUGAUGAUCAAAUUGCAGAUGUGUUCACCAAAGCUUUGAAGCAAGUCAAAUUUGAGAAACUUAGAGAAUUGCUUGGUGUUAAAACUUUUGUAAAUUCAGAUUAAGGAGGGCGUGUUAGUAUUUUAAUCUGAAUAUCUCCCAACUGUAAUAACUGUCCUCUGACAGUUAUUCUCAUUCUUUAGUUUUACUCUUUAAAUACUUCUUUUGUACUCUCUAUUUCAAUUUUCUUCAAUAAGAAUAACUCUCAUUUUCUUCAAACUCUCUUACACUCUGUAUUCUCUCCUCUGCAUAAUUGCUUCUCUGCAUAAUUCUUCCAAACUGUAACAUAUAUACAAAUUAUUUUUUUCUACAUUAGUCAUAACGUUGAUUUGAAAAUUUUUCUAAUAUAAAAAAAUCUUUUUAUACUAGUUAAAAGAGGUUUUCUAUACCAAUUGUAAAAUCGAUAUAUAGAAACAAACAAUAAAAAAGUUUUAACUUUUCUAUAACGAAUUCAUAAUUGGUAUAGGAAGUUUCUUUUUUUCAUAAUGGUUAAUACCACAAUCGGUAUAAUAACCUAAUGCUUUCUUUUUCUUUUGUUCGCCUAUGAACAUAACAUUCUUAAACACAUCAACCAUGAAUCUAGAGCAAAACCAAGAACUAAAAAAUAAUUAUUCACUAAUUGAAUGCCCCACAAUUGCAUCUGUUGUCAUCGUUGACGUCUGACACUUCUUUAGAGCCUUUGAACAUAACAUCACUUCUUCUCUUGAGCAUUCUUUUCAAACAAAAACAACCAAGGUGCAAUAACUUCAAAGAACCUCUAAGUCAUCGCUCUAUACUUAUACUUGUGGUCGUCGACGGUUUCGCUAACACAACCUUUUUCUCCCUCUUAAGGGUUUCUCCAUAUCUCCCAAGUGUUUAUCUCCUCAUGCUUUGUUGCCAAUAUGUUGUGACGGCUUACAACUAGAGGUGUAGCACUACCUCGUCACCAUCGUCUAAGUCGUUGUUGGUGCUGGCGCAACCUCUCUACUCCUUCCACUUCAUAUGAGUGUCUUCCUUCUUGCUCACCAAAAUUAAAAUCCUCUCCAUUAUACUGAGAGUGACACCACUUAAUCUUGUUGUUGAUCGUCGCUAAACCAAUAUUCAGAUAUGUUUUUGGCACAUUGUUCUUUACAAUUAAUAAACAUGAGGAUCCUUUAGAAAUCUUCCUUUGAGAAUUUUGAUAUAACGUUGAGAUUCCCAAAGUCUUGUUGACUUUUUUGUUGUGUUACAUUUGUGUUGUUUAUGGGUGCUAGCUAAGAUAAAUGAAAGCGUUAGAGAAGAAUGGUUGGAUGGAAUUUAUUAUAUGAAAACUAUGAGUAUGGAGUUGAAGAUCACAAAUAAUAAUCGAGAGUUCAGAGAUAUGACAAAAUUUUUUGAAAUUAUCGACGGAAAUAAAUUUGUCUAUAAAUUUGAAUUAUCGAAGGAUUUUGCUGACAAAUUUUUAAUUCCGUCAGUAAUGCAUAUUUCAUUUACCGACAAAAUUUUUCGUCGAAAAAUCCGUCGAUAAUACAUAAUAAAUUUAUCGGUGAAAAAAUUUAUCAUUAAUACAUAUUAAAUUUAACAAUGGAAAGGUUUGUCGGUAAAUCCAUAGGAAAUACAUAUUAAAUUUAUCGAUGGAAAAAUAUGUCGGUAAAUCUGUUGGUAAUACAUAUUUAAUUUACCGACGGAAAGUCCUUCGAUAAAUCCUUUGAUAAAUACGUCGAUAAAAAGAACGACAAAUUUCCCACCCAUUCUUUGUCUCUUUUCGCGAACUGCACAUUACUUUUCUCACCACUUUUCUUUUAUUUUCAAAACCCUCUUCAUCUUCUUUUCUCUCCGUGAGGCAGCCCCUCAUCUCUCCUAUUUUUUCCAUCUAAGCUUAGAUUACCGCAACUCUAGGCCCAUUUGAUGCGCCUCCAUCUUUGUUUAGCCAAACCGCCAUCUACGUCGCCAUCUAUGUCGUCAAGCUUGGGAUCUUUCGCUUCGCUUCAUCUUCUUCUUCUUUAACACAUGUAAGGGAGAGAUCAUGGUUCAGUUCUUCCUUUUUCAUGCAAGGGCACAUCCAAGCUAGGUGCACUAUUGUCGUGCCACGCACUAGCACCACUAUGCAUCAUCGUUGGACCAUGAUGGAUUUGAAGCCAACAAAAUCCUUUUAUUCUCUUUUCUCUCUUUUUUAUUUGUAUUUGUGGUGAAAUAAUUUGAUAGGUUGGCUAUAAUUUUGUGUAGGUUAUGAAAUUGUUGUAAUAAUAGUUGGGUGAUAAUAAAAUUGUGUAACAAACCAAAGUGGAAUAGUGAAUAAAAGCAUAACGAUGAAAUUUUGUGCAUAAAAUUGUAUCAAUUUGUGUAACAUUCGAUUAUAAUGUGUCCAUUUUUGUUGAUUGAAAAAAAAAUAAGGGAAAGAAGAAAGGAAGAGGGGAAGAAGUUGAACCAGAUCUUAGUAGUUUGCAACCAAUUCAUUUUUUGUAUCUGUUAGGUCCAACCAAUAUAUGAAGUGUUCUACUUAUUUACCAAAUUGUCACCACAUUAGAUGGAGAACUAACCCAUGACUCCAUAUAAGAAGAACUUGAGGAGGAGCCUUUUGCAUGAAGGUAUGAAGGUCAUAGCUUGGAGCACAAUCUUGGUAAUACCUACACUUGUGGUGCAUCAGGUUUUUUCUUUUUGUUUAUUCAUUGUGUAUUAGUGUUGCCUUUGUUGUUUAGGCAAGGCUUCCAAAGGGAGUGUGUGUAGACUCUUAUUUAAGAAUGUGUUUUGUUGUGAUUGAGAGAGUGAGAGUAUAUUGAGUGAGUCUUGUAUUCUAUAAAUCUUGACAUUUGAUUUUAGUGGACUUCAACUCGAGUUGUUGAAAAAAAGAUUGAAUGUAAAUUCUUGAAGAGUUGAACCGAUAUAAAUCUUGUGUUGUUUUCUUUCACUAAUCUUGUUAAAUCUUUGGAAUGUUAAAAGAUUCAUUGAAAACAACCUUAUACACCAAUUUUUUUUAAAGAAAGUUAAAAGGAAUUUUCAAACAAAUUCACUACCUCUUGUUUUGUAAUAUAUUUUUUCGUAGAACAGGAUAACCAAGCAUUAUCACCAUCAUACAACACCGACGUUGGUAAAAUUAAAAGAAAAAAGGAGAAGAGAAAAAAAAUGAACUAGAUUGCGAUAUUUACCGACAACUUUAUCUGUCGAUGUUUACCGAUAAAUUUUUCUUUUAAUAAUUUUAGACAAUUUUUUUUUCCAAUGAUUACUGACAUAUUAAUAAAAUCCUUUGAUAAAAUUUACUAACAACAAUUUUACCAACGAAUUUUUUGUUAUCAAUAAACUUUCAAUAAUUUUAAUUUACUGAUAAAUUUUGUACAUUAUCAACAAAUUUUAAUUGUUAAUAAUAUCGAUUUUUAUCUAUAAUAAAUGCUCUAAUCUUUUACCUGUAUAUCAUCUGUCGCAAUCGGAAAAUCGCGACGGGACGACGAUCCAAAAAGAAAAUAAUUUGAAAAAUGUUUUGGAGUCGCUACUAUAGUUUAUUAUGGAAAACUACGGAAAAACCGUAAAAUGAUAAGGCAAGGUCUACAAAACCAAAUUCUGGUUUCGGAAGUCGGUUACGUGUGGGGAAGGUGUUAGCACCCCCACAGCGCCUGCCCUAAGGCAGUACCUUUAACUAAAUACGUGAAUUUGAUGUGGUUUGCAAAAUGUUUAAUUUCCCCUAAAAAAUAAGACUCUAAAGAAAACAAAAUAUUUUUUGUGUUUUUUGUGUCUGACAAGGAUUGACCUUGCUCCUAUGUAUUCUCAGUUGAACUGAGAAAUCAGGGUUACGUAGUUCUUUAAUUAUGUUCAGAUGAUUGUUUGAAAACAUGAUGUUUUAUAUUUUUUGUUAAUUUUUUGAGAGGAGAAGAAAAAGGUUUUUAACACAAGGCUGAUGCAAAUGGUCGCACGUGUGCUUAAACCUUUUAAAAUAAUAUUUUUUUAUAUUUUUAAAUAGAAGAAGAAAAAGGUUUUUAACACGAACGGUCGCACGUGUGCUUACACCUUUUAAAAUAAUUUUUGUAUUUUUAAAUAGAAGAAGAAAAAAAGGUUUUUAACACAAGGCUGACGCGAAUGGUCGCACGUGUGCUUACACCUUUUAAAAUAACUUUUUUUUUUUAAAAGAAGGAGAAAAAGGUUUUCAACACAAGGCUGAUGCGAAUGGUCGCACAUGUGCUUAAACCUUUUUAAAAUAAUAAUUUUUAUUUUUAAAAGAAGAAGAAAAAAAAAGGAUUUUUAACACAAGGCUGACGCGAAUGGUCGCACGUGUGCUUAAACCUUUUCAAAAUAUUUUUGAUUGAUAGUUUUUAUGAUUUUUAUAUUUUUUUUAUUUUUAACAAACAAACAAUGAUAAAACAAAUUCUAAAGCUAAAGAAAUAAAAGCGAAGGCAAUAAUAAAAAAAACAAUAUAGUCCAAUAAGUCCAAUAAAAAAAGGGAGGGCAGAAGACAAAACCAGGGGUGCAACAUGAAACUUAUUGGCCCAUGACCAGAGGUAGGGGUGCAGCAGAUGAAAAUUGGUGGUGCGUUUGGUAGGUGCUGGCCCAAGCCCUUUUUCGUUUUUGUUGAAGCACGGUGGAGGUGUGAAUGGAAUUGAACAUGGUGGCCAGUAGAUAGAAAGUUGUCCAAUAGGCCUAAGGCCCUUUGCCCCAAAUCAGAACAAUAGGGGUUCUACCAAUUUCCUCUCAUUUGUGCAAGCACCAUCAUGACCCAGGGCCAUUUUCUUCUCUGAACGAAGGAAACAGAGACGCACCUCUACUCAACCGACCACCACAAGCUUCCAUCCAAGUCUUCACCGACAACGCCGCUUGCCACUGGGGCCAUCGCCGGCCACCGUGAGGGUUCUCCCCUUUCUUUCUCUCGCACGAGAGAUCUUCUUGUUCGUGAGUGACGUAGGCUGUUCGUCAUGCAAGUUGCCGUUGCCACCGAGCCAGGGUCGUCGUUCCCCGUCGAGCCUUCCUUCUUCCAUCAUCGCGCCACUGCCAAGGUCAUCGUCGCAACUGCAUCAAACGAAAUUCACGAGACCAUUCACGCCAACUCCUCCCUCCAUGGGUGUACCUUCGUCCAAUCAUUCCACUUCAAGUCAUCGACCUACGGCACCACUUGCCAUUGAUCUAGGUUCGCCGCAACUUUCUCCAAUUAGGCUUACCUUUGCUGCGUCUCCGAGAGCCACCACGAGUCUUCUUGUGCAACUUGCUUCAGAUUUGCCUAAAAAGUCAUCAGAACAUCUGUGUUGAUAUUGUUGCCACCCUUCGUGUAAACUUAGAACUUGCCUCUGAUAUCUGUUUUUUACUUUGAGUGUUGAGAUGAGUUCGUGUGAUGGUGAUGGAGGUAGUGAAUGAGUUUCUCUAUUUUUGUGUUUGGUGUUUCUGUGAUGGAGGGGGGUCGUGAGUGAUUGGCCCUUCUUUGUGUUUUUUAGGUGUCAGACCGAAUGGAAGGGAGGGGAUGGUGAUUCUGUUGAGUUGAUGAGGUUGGAGAUAAUGGUGGAUGCUCUGGUUUUGAGUGUAUCGAAGGUGAUGGAAUGGAAGAACGACGAGAGAGAUGAUUCUGUUGGAGGAAAAUGGGUUCCCUCCUUGAGGUUUGUGUUUUUGGCCGAAGGGAAAAAGAAAAAUGGGUAAGUGAUUGGUGUGUCAGGAAGGAAAUUCCUCCGGAGGUGUGCGUGUUGAGUGAUGGAGAGGAGUGUGUGAGGUUAAUCUAUUGGAUGAACGUCUGAUGGUCUAUUGCUUGAAUGGGGGAAUUAGAGAAGAAGGUGUCAAUAAUGGAUGUUGUUGGAGAUGAAGGGAGGAUGCUUUAUGUGUUGCGUGAUGAGGUGUGGUGUGCGUGAGGAUGGUGUGCCUCUUCCUGAAGGCCUCCCUCUUUGCCAGUAUAUCCUCUGCCAAUCCACACCGUGUCUGCCAACCCAAUCGUGCCUGCAAAAAUCGUUUCUUGCUCCCUUGCUGUCCAACCCCGUACACACUGCUCCUAUCCCAGCUAAAACCUCUCUUUUCUUUUACUUUUUUUUUACUAAAAGACAAAAAACUACACUUUUUUUCUUUUUUUUUCUUUUUUUUUCUUUCAUGUUUUUUCUUUUUUUUUUUCGUUUUCCUUUUCUUUUCUUUUGGUUCUUUCGUUUUGUUUUUUGUUUUUUCUUUCUUUCCUUUUUUUUCAUUUCUUUUCUUACUUAUUUUUUUUAUAUAUUUUGUUUUUCAAAUAGAAAAUAAAAUCAAAUGAUAGCUAAAUCAAAUAUCAAAAAACUAAAAACUAAAAUAAAAUAAGACACAUAAAAAAAUAAGUCCUACUAUUUAGUCACCCAGACGAAAUUGUGGUUGAUAUGAUUAUACUUUUCUCUUCAUGUAACAAGAAGAAACUAUCACUGUCACAUGUUUCCUGAAGUUUAUUUUUUAUGGAGUAAAUUAGUUUUGGCAAUUUGAUGCGUUAUGUACACUACUUUGAUUCUUCAAUUAAAGAAGUUUGUCAGUCAUAAUUGUACUACUACAUGAACUCAAUAUCCUACUUAUCCUACCUAACAAUUCAAUUGUUUUCUCCAUAAUAGUGUAAUAUAUAUUAGUAUUUUAAAUAAAAAAAACAAUAGUAUAUAAUUAAUAUAUUAAUUUAUUAAGUUAUUAAGCAAAUGUUUUUAUUUUUUACUGGUGUCAAAAUAACAUGUCUUUUUUUUUAAAAAAAUAAAAACUUUCAAACCCUCAGCAUUCAGACUCUUUCUAGUUUUAAGUUUAAAAAUAAAAAACAUGAUAAAGUAUUAUUUUUUUUAUGAGUUAAGUGGAUGUUUUUGUCUCUUUGUCAUGUCAAAAUAUCAGUUUUUUUAAAGAUUUGACACGCCUUAGAAUAAAUACAUUCAGAUCAAAACAUGCUAUAAUACGUUAGGGUGGACAAAUUGAACUGAACUGUACUGCACUGCUAAAAUCUGAACUGAACUCUAAAACAGUUCAGACAAACUGAACUGAACUGUAAAACAGUUCAGAAAAACUGAACUGAAUUGUUUUUCGUUUUAUUAAACUGAAUUGAAUUGUACUGUACUAAAUUACAGUAUGAACUAAACUGAACUAUUAAUUGAAUUGUAAACUACACUAACUGAACUAUUAACUGAAUUAUAAACUGCACUAAUUGAACUGAACUAUUUAUUAACUAAAUUGUAAACUAAUUUUAACUAAAGUAUAAUAUAAACUGAACUACUAACUAUACUAAUUUUAAACUAAAUUGUACUAAUUUUUAAACUAAAUAUUAUAACAAUACAUAUUGAAAUUUAUUUUAAUAUUUAUUUUAUUUUAUUCAUAAGUAUCUAAUAAAAUGAUUUUUAAUUAUUUAAUAUUAUUAUUUUCUAUUUUAUUUAUAUUUCUUUUAUUAUUAAAAAUUAUUUUAUUUUUUAUUUAUUUACUUAUAUAUAUAUAUAUAUAUAUAAAUGUAUAUAUAUAACUUAAAAAAUAUAAAAAUAUAAAUUAUGUUUUUUAUUUUUAUUGAUAAAAAAUGGAAAUUUUGUGAUAAAAAAAUUGUCUUAAAAAAUUAAUUAUUAUUUUUUUAUGUGAACAAUUUUAUUUAUUAGUAUUUUAUUAUUAAAUAAAGUUUUCUUGAGUUGUACUGAAACUAGAGAAGAUAUAAGAGUAAAUACAGUUCUCACAGUUAACUGAACUGUAAUGUUAUAAAAAACUGAACCAUAAAACAGUAUACUGAACUGUUAGUAAAAGUGGUUCAGUUAUUUUUAGUAUAAUAUAGUACAGUUAACUACAGUACAGUACAGAUCAGUUAUUUUUGCCCAACCUAAUACAUUGGGUUGAUUUGAUGAUAAUUUUGAUGAUGUAUGCAAUUUUGUUGUUGUUAUUGAUUCGCCUUAUUCGUCUCACUUAUUGUCAAAAAUAUCAUUAUCCUAGUUGAAAAUAGGAAUGCAUGCCAAACGAAUCAUAGUAUGCAAAAGGAAAUGUAUAGGAGAGACUGAACUUUUGAGCUCCCGUAACUUGUAAUUCACGUUGCUAAUAUGAGAGAAGACGUUUGCAUAAAUUUAAAUUAAAAAAGAAUUAUAUUUUUUAAUAUUAAAUAGAAAGAUAAAUAUAUCAUUAUAUAUAUAAUCAUUAUAUAUAUAUAUAUAUAUAUAUAUAUAUAUAUAUAUAUAUAUAUAUAUAUAUAAAUUAUUAACCAAGCAUUCAUAUAAAUACGGGAAACUAAUCACUAAUCACUAAUCACUAUGAUUUAAUAAUGCGCAUACUUUAAAAGAAAACUUUAAUAUCUAAAUUGGAAAAAAUUAAGAUUCAAACAGUAUAAUUGUUAUUUUGUUUUGAGGGAAUAUUUUAGUGAUUAUAUUUAAAUUAUAUUUUUUUCAUUCUUUUGCUUGUUAAUUUAAAAUAAAUAAAUUAAAAUAUAAAUAAUCUUUAUGUGGGCUAUCCUACGAGUCAAAAUGUUACGUGGAAGAAGCCAAGAAAAUUAAUUUGCAUGUCAUUGAUAGCCCUGAUUCACUUUUUAUGCACCAAAUGCAAAGCAGAACAAAACAGGACGCAUUCUCACCCUAUAAUAAAAAGAAAAUAUAUUUUAAUAAUUUUUUAGACAAUGUUUUUGAACGGUUUUUAUGGAAACGAAUCGGUAAAAUAAUAAUAUAUAAUUUGUUGUCAAAAAAUUAUAAAAUAUUAUAAUAAAAAAUAAAUAAAUGUAUGAGUCUUUCUAUAUAUAUAUUAAUCAUUUUAUUUGUAUUUAUUUAAUGUGAGAUUUCAAGGGCUUGAAUUCUUAAGAUAUGACAUACAUGUACUUAUCAUCAUGAUAAAUAAAUGACGUGGCAUUUUAGCAAAAUUAUUAUAAACCGGCGGAAAAACAUUUUGGUAGCUAACCGAAUCUUAUUAAAGCAUCAAAUUCAUAUAUAUUUUUUCUUGAGGAGUUGAUAAUGUUGAGAAUUAGAUAAAUCUAUUUUAAUUAAUUUAUCUUUUUAAAUUUCUGUUAAAUGAUUCUUUAUUUCCUGACUUUUAUUUUUCAAAAUUUCAAAAUAUUAAUUAUUUUAAUAGAUGGACCGAAUUAUUCAAUCGGCUUUUUAUUAUUAUACUUUACCACAACGUUUUAUUGAGAGAAAUAAAAUCUUAACCCUCUUUUAAAAAUAAACAAGGUCGUGCUCCACGGGAAACAUAAAAUAUUCCUCGCCACGAGCUUUAAUGUUAUAUAUAAUUUAUUUACUACUAUUAUUGCUGUGCUUCGUGAAGCUCGUGGAUUUUAACUGUUGUUAAAAUAAGAAAUAAAAUGUUAUCUCUGAUGUCUCUUUUUAUUUUUAUAUUAUAACUUUUCUAAUUAUUAAAAGAAAGGUUGCUAUCUUUUGUGACACGUGUCUCAUUGGAUUGCUAAAACAAAGUCAACUUCUUGCUUUAAUUUGUAUUGUGUCAAAUAACUAUCGAAUAUGUUUGUAUAUUUUAAAAUUACAAAACAAUAUAUAUAUAUAUAUAUAUAUAUAUAUAUAUNNNNNNNNNNNNNNNNNNNNNNNNNNNNNNNNNNNNNNNNNNNNNNNNNNNNNNNNNNNNNNNNNNNNNNNNNNNNNNNNNNNNNNNNNNNNNNNNNNNNNNNNNNNNNNNNNNNNNNNNNNNNNNNNNNNNNNNNNNNNNNNNNNNNNNNNNNNNNNNNNNNNNNNNNNNNNNNNNNNNNNNNNNNNNNNNNNNNNNNNNNNNNNNNNNNNNNNNNNNNNNNNNNNNNNAUAUAUAUAUAUAUAUAUAGAUAAUAAUAUUUAGACAACAUUUUUUUGACAAUAUUUGAACAUUGAUUAUGUUUUAAUAUGUGAUUGGUCAUAAAUUACUUUAUAAUCAAUAAUAAUAAUCACAAACACUAUUAUAAAAUAAUUUACGACCAAUCACGUAAUCAAUGUUAAAAUGUUAUCAAGAAAAUAUUGUCUAAAUAUCAUUAUCAUAUAUAUAUAUAUAUAUUAAUUAGAAAAACCAUAUAAACAAUCAAAUUAAAUAUAUAAGUUCUUCACUUAAAACAAAUAAAAGCAUAAAAAUACAUCAAUAUAUAAAUUCCAAUUUUGUAUAGUUUCUUAGCUUAGCAAUUACAUUAAAAUAACUGAGUCCAACUUCAUCCUUAUCCAUAUAUUGUACUUGCAUAGCAUGACAUCUAAUCUUUUACUUACACUGAGCACGUCGCUAAAGACAUCUAUAUAGUCUCUCCGAAUUUUUUUAAAAUCUUUUUAUUAUAAAUGAAUUUGAAUUAAUUUUAUUCUAAUAGCCUUAAAGAAUAAAAAGUAUAAAAAAAAUUGACAAUAAUUAUCUUCGUAUAAUUAUAGAUCAUAAUUAUACAGUUCUGUUAUGAACUUUACAAAUAUUUAGACUAUAUAUAAAUGAACAAAAUUGAUUAUUAUAUAUCUUUUCUGUUAAAACCAACAUUGAAAAUGAUGAUUUUCAGAAAAUAUUUUUAUUGGUAAGAAAAAAAAAUUGGUUUUCGGAUAAAAAACUCGUUUCAAAAUUCUACGAUAUCAUAUUUCACAACAUUAUGGAUCAAACUACCAAUAAUUGCUUUCUUUUUUUAAAAAUUGCCAAUUCUUUACAUUUCUCCACCUAUAACAUUUCAAAUAUCUUAACACAAAUUAUUAUUUUUCAUUAAAAAUCGAGUUAUUUUAAAAAUAUAUUUCAUUAAUUUAAUAAAUUAACUAUAAUUCAGUUAUUAAAUUUAGAAAAAAAUAUUAAAAUAAUUUACCCACAUGUUGUGAAUGUCUCUCUUUCAUAAAUGAACCUUUGUUUCUAUUCUGAGCUCUUUCUUUCCUUCUUUUUUCCUUUCUCUAUGUUGGAAAUUGAACUCUCCAUAUAUAAUUAAACCAUGUAUUAUCUUAUGAUUUUUGAAGUAGAAACACGUGCUGCUAUAGCACCAUCUUUGGUUCUAUAUAAAGAACCAAAAUGCAGUACACCAAAACAUCUCCAACAACACCUUCCAAAUCGAUCAACCAUGAAGCCAACCCUAGUUCUUGCUCUCUCUUUCCUCCUUCCCCUCCUUGCUUUCUUCACCAACCUUCCCUUAGCUUUCUCAGAUGAUGUUCAACAAGUUGUGGACAUAUAUGGGAACCCCAUUUUCCCAGGUUUCAUAUACUACAUCAUCCCAGCAAUCCGUGGUCCAGCUGGUGGUGGAUUGAAACUUGCCCAAACUGGAAAGUCAGAGUGCCCUCUUACUGUUCUGCAAGAUUACUCAGAAGUCUUCCGUGGCCUCCCUGUGCAAUUCACCAUUCCCGGAAUCAGCCCUGGAAUCAUCUUCACAGGUACUAAUCAAUACUUCAUUGUCAUGAGAAUCGUUAGAAGUCUCAUCUCGACUGAAUGGAUGUAGUGAGCCGAUUUUGCAAGAUUGAAUUAGACUUAAAGUCUAUGGUAUUAUAGUUAUGAUCAGAAUCCAUCCUAACGAUAUUUGUUAUCUGUUGAACAUGUUGUUUCACCUGCUAUUAGGUCAUUAUCCGACUAUAUAUUAAUGUCUAGUCUCACGAUGAUAUGUUUAUACCUCAAUUUAUAGAUUGAAUUGAGCUUAAAUUUGAUUUCCUAACAAAUUUCUUAUAAAUGAUCUUCUGUUAUUAAUUUCAAGUUUUGGAAACUUCCCUAUAGGUACCAAACUGGACAUCGAGUUCGUACAUAAGCCAUUAUGUACAGAAUCCUCCAAGUGGUUGGUGUUCGUGGACGAAUCAAUCCAGAAAGCAUGCGUGGGAAUUGGUGGUGCCGAAGGCCAUCCAGGGCAACAAACUUUUGGUGGCAAAUUUCACAUUGAGAAAUACAAAUUUGGGUACAAGCUUGUUUUCUGCAUCACCGGCUCACCAACUUGCUUGGAUAUUGGGAGAUUUGAUGCAGAGAACGGUGAGGAAGGAAGACGCUUGAAUCUCACUGAGCAUGAAGCAUUCGAUAUUGUGUUCGUACCAGCUUUUGAAGCUGAUAAGGUUAUUAAGUCUGUAGUUUGAAUCAAAUAUCUCUAGUUAAUCAGAUUUUAGUUAAUGCAAUCAUAUGUUGUUUUGAUUUGCAUUACCUAAGAGAAUCUAGUCCAAAGACUGAAUAAGAUAGUUAAUUUCUAAUUUCUUGCCUGAUAUCUUUCUCUCUUUCAUUUCGUUCAAACUUCAAUGAAAGACAUUAAAAAAUUUAGGUUUAAUAUUCUGAAAUGCCCACACAAGCCGACGUGGUUCUGCCAUGCACAACUUUAAAUACUAAACAUCAUAUAUUAUAUAUAAUAAAAUAUUAGUCCUCGUGACCCUCGACCUAUUCGACCUAUAGUAAAAAAAGUAUGUUCAUUAAACAAUUCUAUAUAUAUAUAUAUAUAUAUAUAUAUAUAUAUAUAUAUAUAUAUAUAUAUAUAUAUAUAUAUAUAUAUAUAUAUAUAUAUAUGGAACGUUUAAUUAUGCUCAUGUAGCUUGAUUAUUUAUACAUUGGUCAUAUUUUUUUUUUUAUUAUUGACAUUGUUACUUAAUGGAAACUGACUCUCAAAUUAAAUCGAUAGGUUAUAAAAAAUUAAAUCAAAAUGUGAAAGAGUGUGUGAGUUUUAUUUUAAUUGCGAAUAUGUACGACAGAAUUUCUCUUCAAGAACUUUUGGGAAGGAAAAAAAUGAAAUUAGUAUCUCAAUAAAUUAAAACUAAUUUAUUAAUAAAUUAAUCUAUUGACAUAGCUUCUUAAAAAGUUAUUUUUAACUUACACUAGUAAAUAAACUAGUAAAUAAACAAUUUUUUAACUCAUACAUUAAGUUUCUUCAUAAAAAUUCAAUGGUAAUUUUAUAAUUAUGACAACAUUAUAUGUCUCGAUUCAUUAUGAAUUGAUAACUAAGGGUUAGUUCUUUGAUCAAUCGAGACAAAAAAUCUUGUUGACCCAUGUAAAUUAGACUUUUCAUCUGUCUGAGUUCUUUGACCAACUUAGACAUUAUGUCUUGUCAGAAACCGACAACAUUUAAUUAUGAUUGUUUGAAAUUUAUUUUGUCAACUUCUACGGCCUUGAUUAUAUUUUAACUGAUGUCAUAGGCCUUUUAUGCCUUAGGUUAACCGCGAAUUGAUGCUUACAAUUAUUAGAUAUUUUCAAAUUUUUCAUUUACAAUUUUAUUUUGAAUUUUUUCUAGAAGGUUUACGCAUAAGUUGUGUUUAUAACUGAGGUAAUAGUCUCUUUGAUAGUUAAAUUCCAUAGGUUCAACAUAUUAUAACGUACUUUCUGUCACCAAUUAUAAUAGUGUAUUAUGAAAUAUUUUCACUUAUUAGUCUUAAUAUAGCAAAUAUAUUAUGAUGUAGCUCGAUUUAUCUAUUAUAAUAUAUAGUAUUUUAUGAUAUAGAGCUUUUCACCUAUCAUAAUAUGUCGAAUAUAUUAUGACAAGUAAUUGUUCACCUAUCAUAAUAUAUGUUUUUCAUAAUUAACUUUAUUACAUACAUAGUUCACCUAUCAUAAAAACUUGUUUUGUUAAAAAAUAAUAAUUCAUUAUUACAUUUAACAUAUCCAAUCAAUUUCUUGUAUUAUCAUAUCAUCAAUCAAUUUAUAAUCAAUAUAACAUGAAAUGAACAUAUUUAAUUAAACUAAGUUUAAACCUCUUUUUGGUCCCUAAGUUAUAAGCUGGUGUUCAGUUUAGUCCCUGCUUUUAAGAAUGUCAACUUUUGAUCCCUAAGUUAUAAAAAAUGUUUCAAAUCAGUCCCUACCGUUAAAUAUCCACUAACGGAGUUAAUUUUUUUUCUCUCUCUUCUGCUCCUCUGAAUUUCUGUGAAGAUAACAACUUUUUCUUUCUCUCUCUUUUACGUCUCCUCUGAAUUUAUAUGAAAACAACAACUUUUACCAACGCUGUUGAUGAAGCUCCCCAAACUAUGCUUUCCUCUGCUGGCUCAUGCAGAUGACGACCACCCCUUCCUCUAUUAGACCCACCUCUGAAAAGUUUACUGAGCCAUUUCAUGAAACCAGACUUUCUCUCUGAGCGAGGAGAAAUAUAAUCCCCUGCAUCCCACCAAAAUUCCACCAUGUAUAUCAAGUUUAGUAAGAACCAGAAGAAGUAUAUCAAGUUUAGUAAGAACCAGAAGAAGUGAAAAUUCAAGUUCUAAAAAAAAAGCACCAUGGUCUAGAUAACUUAUUGGAACCACGUGAAAAGUAAAUUCCGAAACUUUGAGAAUACCUAUUUAGUAAAAUCAACAGAAAAAGUUUAAAGUUCAAACAAGAGCUUCAUGGGGUGGUUCACGCUUCUGCAAAAUCCAUUUUUUUUUUCUUUCUUCCACGUAAAUAUCUGUAAAGCAACCGCUUUGAAUAGAUGGGGGUGAUGAAGCUCAGAUUUUGCUGAAUAGUAGUGAAAGAGAAAGAUAGAGAGAAAAGAAUGAUGAUACCGUAUAUGCAUGGAUGAGAAAGAUGGUUGACAUGGAGCCAUAAGGAGGAAAAAAGCAAUGUUGUGAGAGAGAAGACGAGGGAAAUGAAAAUGACAGAGAGAUGGAGAAGAUUUGAGUGUGGUUGAAGAAGGGGCAUGAGAGAAGAGAAAAAUACGGAAUCAGCGCUGGCAUUGGAUUUGAGUGUAGUUGAAUCUUACCUUUGCUUCUUCACUCUUGUUUUCAGAUAAAUUCGGAAGAGUAUAAGAGAGAGAAAGAAAAAACUGUUAUCUUCACAGAAAUUUAGAGGAGCAGAAGAAAGAGAAAGAAAAAGUUAACUCCUUUAGUGGAUAUUUAACGACAGGGACUGAUUUGAAACAUUUUUUAUAACUUAAGAAUCAAAAGUUAACAUUUUUAAAAGAAGAGACUAAACUGAACAUAAUUAAAUUCAUUUUAAAAAUUAAAUUGUUUGAUAAUAUUUAAUACAUAAUUUAUACAUUAAUCCAUAUAUUACAUUAACUUACAGUACAGCAGUCAAGUUUCUAUAAACAAUGUCCAUGGAAUAACAAACAAGUUUCUAUACCCAACGGCCUUUCCCCCCUGUGAACAUGUAGUUACCUUUGUACUUGCUAACGAAUUCUUUUUUUGGCCUAGACCAUGCAGCAAACUCAUAGUCAACAGCAAAGCUCACUGACCCCUUCUCCUGCAUUCCCAAAAACAGCCCAAUAACCGGCUACAGUAUCUCAUGCACGAAGCAACUUCAAAUUUGUCCGCAGCCAUCAACACGUCCAGCAAAGCAGGUGCUGUAGUAGUGGUCAAGGUACAUAACGUUCAGCAGCUCCAUGAGAACAGCUUCUUCUGCAACAUAAAAAGAAGUAUGGCAUUUCUAAUGUAACUAUUUGAGGGAAAAGAGGCAAAACUGUGCAAAGAAUCUACAAAGUACAUUCCUACAUUCCUACCUGAGGCAUUAAUUUUAAGGGAGACAUGUCUCUGAUCAGACUCCCUCAUCCCAUUUGAGAAAAGCUGCAUAAGUAAAUACAUACUAGUAAGCAAAUAUAUUUUUGGAAAAAAAGAAUCAAAUGUACCCUGUAAAGAAGAAAGAUCUUCCUCAACCUUAUAAAAGAAAGGACUUUUAUCAAACAAGAUAGGAGAACUUAUGUGAAGCGUUUUAACUCUAACAAUGGUCCAUGCUGUAGUCCGAAUCAUGACUAUUUGUAGCUUUUCAUCACCUGAAUUAACCACACCACUCGAGUAUUCACAGAGCAGAAAUGAUAACUUCAUACUAAAAGGGAAGGAACCAAAAGAUAUCCAUAAAGAUAUCAAUGUCCAUUCCUUGUUUAAAAACAAAUGAGAGUGUCAUAUUUUCUGAUAACAUAAACUUCUCUAAACAAUCACACUCGUGUAUAAAUCGUACAUUUACGAUUAAAUUAGAGGAUUUCUAAUGCAAUAUAUGUAGAUUCCUAAAGAUAAUUGGGAAACGAGGGCAUGUUUCAUUCCCUUCUCAUUUUUCAGAUUUAAAAACAAUUUUUCCGAAACAACACCUAAUUAGCAAUCUAUUUCUCAUUCAAAUUUUUUUAAAAUGAUUUUGGAAAUAGUUAUUUUAAAAAAUCAAGUCUUAAAUGUUUACUUGGUUCCUGAGUUAAAUAAUUUUGUUCAGUUUAGUAUCUGGUUUUAAAAGUGCAUACAUUAAGUCUCAAAAUUAUAAAAAUUGUAUAGAUCAAGUCCCUUCCGUUAAAUUGGCAAUAACAUAGUUAAUUCUUAGUUGAUGUGGCAAAAUAAUCUGCAUUUUAUCUUCUCUCUCCCAUGCUUUUCCAGCAAUGCCCAUCUUUUUCUCUCUUUUCUAUAUCUUUCGUAUUCUUCUUCAAUCUUCCUUCUUCAAUCUUCAACCUUGAAGCUCAUCGUCAUGUCUUCUCUCCUAGGUAAGCCUCUCACGAUUCAAUCUUUUUAAAGUCAAAUCGAUGAUGUAUGUGGCUCUUUUGGACUCAAAACUCUGAUAGAUGAUUGCAAGGAACAAUUAUUAGAAGUGGAUGCAAAUGCAAAACCUAAAUUCCAGAUAAAAAAUCUCACUAGAGUUUUUGACGGUGGGGUUUCAAUCUUCAAAAGCAUCAACCUUAACAUCCCAAAGGGUGUCAUUGUUGGGAUCAUAGGCCCCGACGAUAGCGGCAAGUCAACCUUCUUAAGAGCCUUGAACCGCCUUUGGGUAUGGUUGUAGUUUCUUCCAACAACUUAGAUAACUCCACCUUCUUCAUCGAUUCAGAUUCCCUCAUCCGAAGUUCAUCAUUUUCUUCAAACAUACUUUACAACUCGUUUUCUUUAUCCAAUAAAUUCUCCUUCAGUUUCAUGUUCUUAGCUAUUGCUUCCUUAAGAGCUUCCUGCAGUUGAAUUGCCUCAGCCUCAACUUCCUUAAUAUUUUCCUUCAACUAGGCUUCUUCCUCCCUGUUUAUAUUAGCUUCUUCCUCGGUUUCUUUAAGCAAAUAAAGCAAUCUUUUUAUUUCUUUUUUCCAGAGAUACCUUCUUUUCUUCAUUUUUCUUUAUGCAGCUUACAAGAUGAUGCUCUCUCUCUGCUCCUACUCAACCUUGGAGUUCUCAAAGACACUCUUUGAAUUUUCAAUGCUACAUACAAGAAAAUGGAUCUCAUGUCAUGCCUCAUCAAGCAUGGACUCAUUUUUUAUUGGUGGCUUUUAAUACUAACUUCAAAUCUUCAAUCUGAGCCUCACAGCUUUCACGUUCAGCUUGGAUGUUUAGUAGAUUUUCCUUGGCUUCUCUGGCUUCUGUAGAUAUUUCAUGUAAUGCAGAAGCUAAGCUUUCCAUUGCCUUUUUACUCUUUUCUUCUUCAUCCUUAGAAUUUUCCAAUUCACUGAUAAGUUUGUUUUUCUCUUGUAAUAAUGUUGGAGGGUAUCUAUUCUACAGGCAUAGUUGCUGACAAUGUGAGGUAUGGACCACAACUUAGAGGGAAAAAGCUAAUUGAUGAUGAGGUGCGCAAGUUGCUGGCAAUGGCAGACUUCGAUGCUUCUUUCAUGGAUAAGUCCGGGGAUGAACUCUUUGUGGGUCAAGCACAAAGGGUUGCACUUGCUAGGAUUUUGGCUAAUUCAUCGGAGGUAACAUAAAACUAUUUUUUUUUGUCUCUUAACUUUAUUUUUUGUCUCCAUUUUUACUUGUGAUGUUCGUUUUAUUUGGUAUUUUUGAAUUGAAGAUUUUGUUGUUAGAUGAGCCACGAUGAAUGUACUUCCUGAUUAUUAACAGUGGACUGGAAAGGAAAUAAGAGAAUUUGAGGAAGUGGAGGAUAGGUUUGGUGAAAAAAAGAAGAGAAAAAAAAACUAUUUUGUAAAGAUAUAGGAAAGAGAGAAAAAAGCAAGGACAUGGUAGGAAAAAAAACAGAGAAGAGAGAAGAAAUAUGGUAGAAGUUUUUGCCACAAUAGUUGGGAGUUAAUACCAUUGUUGUCAAUUUAACGGAAGAGACUUGAUUUAUAUAAUUUUCACAAUUUUAGGAUAUAACAGAAGGGACAUGAUUUAUAUAAUUUUUACAACUUUAGGAUCUAACUGUAUGCACUUUUAAAAUCAUGUACUAAAGUGAAAAAAAAAACCACUUAACUUAGGAACCAAGUAAACAUUUAAACCAAAAAUCAAUAUACAAAAGCAUAUAUUCUCAUCUUCUCUUUUGAUCUUGUUUGAGCUCUACCUCAAUUCCACACUCUACUCUCGCCUUACACCUUCCACUCUACCAACUGUCUGGACAAAAUGCAAUUCAAGUUUCACUGGUAUUCAUACAACAUGCAAUUCAAGUUUUACAAGAAAAAAUUAAAUAAUAAAUUUAGAUCUCUUAGAAUAAAUUUAGAUCACCUAAGAGAGACCACCUGGAAGAAACCCUACUCCCAUGAAGCCCUAGCAAUGUGUGACUAGUACUCUUCUCUCACAGUCUUGUUACUGUCCUCUAAACGGCUGAGAUAAAUGACCGAAAGCUCGCAUUCCUCAGCACCCACCAGGAUACAACAUGGAGACGUGCCAUCGACGACGUGAAGCUUCAAGACGUGUAGAGUUUCGAGAUGUUUUGUGUGGUCUGGGACGAGAGAAAGAAAUGUUGUGCGAGAUUGGAAGAAAUGAAAUGAGAAGGGUUUUGCACUUAUUAUAAUAAGUAUUUUAAUAUGUAUCAUAAUAUGUUUUUCCAUAAUUUUCAUUUUGUCAUCAUAUUCAACUUAUUAUUAUGACAGGUGACUUGUACCUGUCAUAAUACUUAUAUUUUUUAUUACGAAAAUAUUACUAUUAUAAAUUUCUUAAAAUAUGUCAUAAUACAUGUUAAUUUUAUUAAAAAUUAUUAUGAUAACUAGAUUUCAUCAAUAGAAUCCUCUUUUUUACUUUUUUUUUUCUACUAGUGAGUAAUUACAUUAAAAUAACUCAGUACAACUUCGUCCUUAUCCAAUUAUUGUACUUGCAUAACAUGUGAUAUAAUAUUUUACCUACACUCAGCACGUCGAUCUACAAAGUCUAUUCGAAUUUUUUUUAAUUCUUUUAUAAUAAAUGAUUUUGAAUUAAUCUUAUUCGAAUAACCUUAAAGAAUAAAAAGUAUAAAAAAAAGUUGACAAUAAUGUCAUGAACCUUAAUUUUAUAUAUCUUUUAUGUAAAACCAACACUGAAAAUGCGGAUUUUCAGAGAAUAUUUUUAUUGGUAAAAGAAAAAUUUGAUUUUCGGAUAAAAAACUCUUUUCAAAAUUCUACGAUGUCAUAUUUUACAACAUUAUGGAUCAAACUACCAAUAAUUGCUUUCUUUAUUUAAAAAUUACAUUCUCUCUUUCUCGAUAUAUAUUGUUUGCCAAUUCUUUACAUUUCUCCACCUAUAACAUUUAAAAUAUCUUUACACAAACUUCAAUUUUUAUUGAAAAUCGAGUUAUUUUAAAAGUAUAUUUCAUAAAUUUAAUAAAUUAACUAUUAUUCAGUUAUUAAAUUAAGAAAAAAAAUUAAAAUAAUUUACCCACAUGUUAUGAAUGUGUUGUCAGUCUCUUUCACAAAGUCAUUGUCCUGUCUUACUAUAAACCUUUGUUGCUAUGUCCAUUCUUAACAUGAUAUUACAUUUCUUGCUGCCACACAUGUUUCUAUUCUUUGUAUUUUUCCUUUUUCCUGUCUCUAUGGUCAAAAUUGAGAUCUGCAUACCUAAACCAUAUUAUCUUAUGAUUUUUAAAGUAGAAACAGGUGGUGCUAUAGCAGCAUCUUUGGUUCUAUAUAAAGAACCAAAAUCAAUCCAGCACAACAUCUCCAACAACAUCUUCCAAAUCGAUCAACCAUGAAGCCAACCCUAGUUCUUGCUCUCUCUUUCCUCCUUCCCUUCUUCACCAACCUUCCCUUAGCUUUCUCAGAUGAUGUUCAACAAGUUGUGGACAUAUAUGGGGACCCCAUUUUACCAGAUUUCACAUACUACAUCGUCCCAGCAAUCAGUGGUCCACCUGGUGGUGGAUUGAAACUUGCCAAAACUGGAAACUCAAAGUGCCCUCUUACUAUCCUGCAAGAUUACUCUGAAGCCUUCCGUGGCCUCCCUGUUCAAUUCACCGGAGACAGUCACUUAUUCAUCUUUACAGGUACUCAUCAGU
RNAcentral lists this long non-coding RNA (26353 nucleotides) under Vigna radiata. RNAcentral's name for it is "long non-coding RNA (VRAD_LNC000278)". Lineage: Eukaryota; Viridiplantae; Streptophyta; Magnoliopsida; Fabales; Fabaceae. The record is from RNAcentral.